UGGGGAAUAUUGGACAAUGGGGGCAACCCUGAUCCAGCCAUGCCGCGUGUGUGAAGAAGGCCUUUUGGUUGUAAAGCACUUUAAGCAGGGAGGAGAGGCUAAUGGUUAAUACCCAUUAGAUUAGACGUUACCUGCAGAAUAAGCACCGGCUAACUCUGUGCCAGCAGCCGCGGUAAUACAGAGGGUGCGAGCGUUAAUCGGAAUUACUGGGCGUAAAGCGAGUGCAGGUGGCUCAUUAAGUCACAUGUGAAAUCCCCGGGCUUAACCUGGGAACUGCAUGUGAUACUGGUGGUGCUAGAAUAUGUGAGAGGGAAGUAGAAUUCCAGGUGUAGCGGUGAAAUGCGUAGAGAUCUGGAGGAAUACCGAUGGCGAAGGCAGCUUCCUGGCAUAAUAUUGACACUGAGAUUCGAAAGCGUGGGUAGCAAAACAGGAUUAGAUACCCUGGUAGUCCACGCCGUAAACGAUGUCUACUAGCCGUUGGGGUCCUUGAGACUUUAGUGGCGCAGUUAACGCGAUAAGUAGACCGCCUGGGGAGUACGGCCGCAAGGUU
RNAcentral lists this ribosomal RNA (550 nucleotides) under uncultured bacterium. RNAcentral's name for it is "partial 16S ribosomal RNA". It matches the Rfam family "Bacterial small subunit ribosomal RNA", at positions 355 to 895 of the family's 1533-position model. The record is from RNAcentral.